AGCCGCAAUAUGCCGGCCGAGAAUUUGGCGGAGACAAAAGAGAGUUUAAUCCCUUAACCUGGCAACAUGUUUCAUCUAGCUCCGUUAACUACUUAACUCCAUAAUUUGCAUCCGUUCCAACUUCCUCCAUGUACAGUCUCAAGGUAACCAAUCUAGGCCACACAAGCUUACAGGAACCAUCUCGCUGCCACUGGAGAUCGGCAACCUUGUGAGUCUGAAGAGCCUGCACACAGGAAAACAAAAAUAAUACCACCCAGCAUAAGAUUUGGUAUUGAACUUGGGAUACAACUAAGUAGUUACUUCCUCCGAUCCAUAUUACUUGUCGCAGCUUUAGUACAACUUUAUACAGUCGAGCUGUAGAGAACAUACUUAGUUAAUUGUUUGAGAUAGAACAUGCCUUUCUGACCACCUCUUCGGGCUUUGCCUGCUUUUCCCACUCGAUGUGCUCUUGCAUACAUGGCUAUAUUUCUUCUUAGGCCUUGUACAAUGCUAGGUGCUUAGGGA
This 504-nucleotide long non-coding RNA is filed under the name Triticum aestivum (bread wheat). RNAcentral's name for it is "long non-coding RNA (TAES_LNC016575)". Lineage: Eukaryota; Viridiplantae; Streptophyta; Magnoliopsida; Poales; Poaceae. The record is from RNAcentral.